RNAcentral lists this ribosomal RNA (465 nucleotides) under uncultured bacterium. RNAcentral's name for it is "partial 16S ribosomal RNA". It matches the Rfam family "Bacterial small subunit ribosomal RNA", at positions 28 to 507 of the family's 1533-position model. The record is from RNAcentral.
GACGAACGCUGGCGGCGUGCUUAACACAUGCAAGUCGAACGGAAAGGCCCUGCUUGCAGGGUACUCUAGUGGCGAACGGGUGAGUAACACGUGGGUGAUCUGCCCUGCACUUCGGGAUAAGCCUGGGAAACUGGGUCUAAUACCGGAUAGGAGCCAUUUUUAGUGUGAUGGUUGGAAAGUUUUUUCGGUGUAGGAUGAGCUCGCGGCCUAUCAGCUUGUUGGUGGGGUAAUGGCCUACCAAGGCGGCGACGGGUAGCCGGCCUGAGAGGGUGGACGGCCACAUUGGGACUGAGAUACGGCCCAGACUCCUACGGGAGGCAGCAGUGGGGAAUAUUGCACAAUGGGGGCAAGCCUGAUGCAGCGACGCCGCGUGGGGGAUGACGGCCUUCGGGUUGUAAACUCCUUUCGCUAGGGACGAAGCUUUUUGUGACGGUACCUAGAUAAGAAGCACCGGCUAACUACGUG